RNAcentral lists this ribosomal RNA (465 nucleotides) under Vreelandella stevensii. RNAcentral's name for it is "partial 16S ribosomal RNA". It matches the Rfam family "Bacterial small subunit ribosomal RNA", at positions 338 to 795 of the family's 1533-position model. Lineage: Bacteria; Pseudomonadati; Pseudomonadota; Gammaproteobacteria; Oceanospirillales; Halomonadaceae. The record is from RNAcentral.
CCUACGGGGGGCAGCAGUGGGGAAUAUUGGACAAUGGGGGGAACCCUGAUCCAGCCAUGCCGCGUGUGUGAAGAAGGCCCUCGGGUUGUAAAGCACUUUCAGUGAGGAAGAACGCCUGGUGGUUAAUACCCAUCAGGAAAGACAUCACUCACAGAAGAAGCACCGGCUAACUCCGUGCCAGCAGCCGCGGUAAUACGGAGGGUGCGAGCGUUAAUCGGAAUUACUGGGCGUAAAGCGCGCGUAGGUGGCUUGAUAAGCCGGUUGUGAAAGCCCCGGGCUCAACCUGGGAACGGCAUCCGGAACUGUCAAGCUAGAGUGCAGGAGAGGAAGGUAGAAUUCCCGGUGUAGCGGUGAAAUGCGUAGAGAUCGGGAGGAAUACCAGUGGCGAAGGCGGCCUUCUGGACUGAAACUGACACUGAGGUGCGAAAGCGUGGGUAGCAAACAGGAUUAGAUACCCGUGUAGUC